RNAcentral lists this ribosomal RNA (440 nucleotides) under uncultured bacterium. RNAcentral's name for it is "partial 16S ribosomal RNA". It matches the Rfam family "Bacterial small subunit ribosomal RNA", at positions 339 to 795 of the family's 1533-position model. The record is from RNAcentral.
CUACGGGUUGCACCAGUAGGGAAUAUUGGACAAUGGGCGAAAGCCUGAUCCAGCAACACCGCGUGCACGAUGACGGCCUUCGGGUUGUAAAGUGCUUUUAGAGGAGAUGAGAAAGGACAGUAUCCUCUGAAUAAGCCUCGGCGAACUACGUGCCAGCAGCCGCGGUAAAACGUAGGAGGCAAGCGUUAUCCGGAUUUAUUGGGCGUAAAGCGCGUGCAGGCGGUCGAGCAAGUUGGAUGUGAAAGCUCCCGGCUCAACUGGGAGAGGUCGUUCAAUACUGUUAGACUAGAGAAUAGGAGAGGGAGGUGGAAUUCCGGGUGUAGUGGUGAAAUGCGUAGAUAUCCGGAGGAACACCAGUGGCGAAAGCGGCCUCCUGGACUAUUUCUGACGCUAAGACGCGAAAGCUAGGGUAGCAAACGGGAUUAGAUACCCCCGUAGUC